AUUGAACGCUGGCGGAAUGCUUUACACAUGCAAGUCGAACGGAAGCACGGACUUCGGUCUGGUGGCGAGUGGCGAACGGGUGAGUAAUGUAUCGGAACGUGCCCAGUCGUGGGGGAUAACGUAGUGAAAAUUACGCUAAUACCGCAUACGAUCUAUGGAUGAAAGCGGGGGAUCGCAAGACCUCGCGCGAUUGGAGCGGCCGAUAUCAGAUUAGGUAGUUGGUGGGGUAAGGGCCCACCAAGCCAACGAUCUGUAGCUGGUCUGAGAGGACGAACAGCCACACUGGAACUGGGACAGGGUCCAGACUCCUACGGGAGGCAGCAGUGGGGAAUUUUGGACAAUGGGUGAAAGCCUGAUCCAGCCAUUCCGCGUGCAGGAUGAAGGCGCUCGGGUUGUAAACUGCUUUUGUACAGAACGAAAAGGUUUCUACUAAUACUAGGAGCUCAUGACGGUACUGUAAGAAUAAGCACCGGCUAACUACGUGCCAGCCGCCGCGGUAA
RNAcentral lists this ribosomal RNA (500 nucleotides) under uncultured bacterium. RNAcentral describes it as "partial 16S ribosomal RNA". It matches the Rfam family "Bacterial small subunit ribosomal RNA", at positions 30 to 523 of the family's 1533-position model. The record is from RNAcentral.